RNAcentral lists this ribosomal RNA (253 nucleotides) under uncultured bacterium. Its description in RNAcentral is "partial 16S ribosomal RNA". It matches the Rfam family "Bacterial small subunit ribosomal RNA", at positions 524 to 776 of the family's 1533-position model. The record is from RNAcentral.
UACGUAGGGGGCAAGCGUUGUCCGGAUUCAUUGGGCGUAAAGAGCGUGUAGGCGGCCAGGUAGGUCGGUUGUGAAAACUGGAGGCUCAACCUUCAGAGGUCGACCGAAACCACCUGGCUAGAGUCCGGGAGAGGAGAGUGGAAUUCCUGGUGUAGCGGUGAAAUGCGCAGAUAUCAGGAAGAACACCCGUGGCGAAAGCGGCUCUCUGGAACGGUACUGACGCUGAGACGCGAAAGCGUGGGGAGCGAACAGG